UAACCUAGACUCAGGUUAUGGGUGUUC
Molecule: non-coding RNA, 27 nt
Filed under: Mus musculus (house mouse)
Lineage: Eukaryota; Metazoa; Chordata; Mammalia; Rodentia; Muridae
Source: RNAcentral